UAGAAUGGGACAAACUGUGUCACAU
This 25-nucleotide non-coding RNA is filed under the name Rattus norvegicus (Norway rat). Lineage: Eukaryota; Metazoa; Chordata; Mammalia; Rodentia; Muridae. The record is from RNAcentral.